This 324-nucleotide ribosomal RNA is filed under the name uncultured eukaryote. RNAcentral describes it as "partial 18S ribosomal RNA". It matches the Rfam family "Eukaryotic small subunit ribosomal RNA", at positions 1470 to 1796 of the family's 1831-position model. The record is from RNAcentral.
CCCUUAGAUGUCCUGGGCCGCACGCGCGUUACACUGAUGCAUUCAACGAGCUUAUAACCUUGGCCGAGAGGCCUGGGCAAUCUUGUUAACGUGCAUCGUGAUAGGGAUAGAUUAUUGAAAUUAUUAAUCUUGAACGAGGAAUUCCUAGUAAACGCAGAUCAUCAAUCUGCAUUGAUUACGUCCCUGCCCUUUGUACACACCGCCCGUCGCACCUACCGAUUGGAUGAUCCGGUGAGCUAUUCGGACUUUCGCAUUGUCGAUUUUCGGCUUUACGAGGGAAAGUCUCGCGAACCUUAUCAUCUAGAGGAAGGAGAAGUCGUAACA